GUGAGUAGUUCAGAGUUUGUAUCCUGGCUCAGGACGAACGCUGGCGGCGUGCCUAACACAUGCAAGUCGAACGGAGUUGCCCUUCGGGACAACUUAGUGGCGAACGGGUGAGUAACGCGUGAGAAACCUGCCUUUCAGUGGGGGACAACAGUUGGAAACGACUGCUAAUACCGCAUAACAUAUUCGGGGGCAUCCCCUGAAUAUCAAAGCUUAAUGUGCUGAAAGAUGGUCUCGCGUCUGAUUAGCUAGAUGGCGGGGUAACGGCCCACCAUGGCGACGAUCAGUAGCCGGUCUGAGAGGAUGAACGGCCACAUUGGGACUGAGAUACGGCCCAG
This 335-nucleotide ribosomal RNA is filed under the name uncultured bacterium. Its description in RNAcentral is "bacterial SSU rRNA". It matches the Rfam family "Bacterial small subunit ribosomal RNA", at positions 1 to 334 of the family's 1533-position model. The record is from RNAcentral.